RNAcentral lists this long non-coding RNA (1569 nucleotides) under Homo sapiens (human). RNAcentral's name for it is "HSALNT0029924". Lineage: Eukaryota; Metazoa; Chordata; Mammalia; Primates; Hominidae. The record is from RNAcentral.
UCAUCACAUUUUGUCUCAACAUUCAGGUAUGAUUUGCAGAUGACUGAUAACAACCAUCAUGUUGUGGAAAAGAACACAUCUCUCAGAAAGUUACACAUGCGCAUCAAGUUUUUGUUUGCCCACUAAGCCCAGUAACCAGGUGGAAGACAGAUGGAAGUCCUUAACAUCCCUUCUUACAGAUGCUUAAAGGAAAAAGAGAAAAAGAUAAAAGAAUUCCUGCAUAUGGAUAAAAAGCAGAAUCUGAGCCAGAUGGAAAUGCAUAAACCCUGGAAUCACUGUAGUAUUUGGAUGGUUGCUUCAUAAGACACAUGAGACAUGGCUACAUCCAGGGAAGAUGAAGACAAGCAUUUCUCCUUGUGUCAUUUUGGAGAAAAUUUUUUUCCAGAAAAUCACCAGUUGGCUUUUCCUCUGAUCCCAUUGUCCAGAAUGGGGUUUUCGUAUAGUAGGCUGAGAAAGAAAGAAUCUAGAAUUUUGGGCUCUGUGGAGGUAGAUAGGAUUCAGCCUAAAUAAGGUAGUAGAGUGAUUGGGCCACAGAAAGUGUAUGACAUAUAGGAAGUGCAGGUAUUUCAAACAGAUACCAUUAUUCAUCCUAACGGCUACCAAAAUCCAAAUAUUAUCAUUUAUAAUGGUAUUUACAAGAUAUUUUUAAACUUUCAGGAACUCAAUUGUAGAAUUUCAUAUUUUAGCUUUUAAAUUCACUUUUACUAUAAUAUUUGUAUAUUUCUAUGUAAACCCAGUAAUUUAUGUCUGUGGGAAAUAAGCCAAUUCCAAACAAAUGAAUAACAGGCAAUUGGUAGAUGAGGCUAAUAGGUUAAUACACACAAAUACACACACACACCCACACACACUUUAACAUUAAACAUUUUAUGACAUAUUCUGUAGACAUCAAAUAAACGUUAUUUGAAAAAUACCAUAGAAUAUCAACCUUUCUUCUUAAGAGACAAUGAAAUAGAUCUCACCACUAUGUGGGUGGUUGGUUAAGAUUAAGGCCACAAGGUAUUUUUGUUUUUGAAACGGUUUGUUUCAGCUAUCCUAAAACUUACAUGCAAGGGCAAAUAAACUGGAAUAAUUUCAACAAUUUAAAAAGAAGCAAGGUCAAAAGAAUCACCAUACCUGAUUUUACGAUUUACUAUAAAUCUACUCUAAUAAAGAAAAUGGUAUUGGUGAAGAAAGAAAUAGGUUCCUGAAAUGGAAUAAGCAGCAUAUGCAUAGACUUGAACAAAUUUAGCCAUUUGAUAUUUGACAAAGGUUAAACAAAUAAAAAGGAUAGUCUUUGCAGCAAAUGGUAUUGAAACAAUUGGUUCUCUAUAGGCAAAAACAAUGAACUAUGACCUAAACUUCAAACUCAUGAAAAAGUCAACUCAAAAUAGAUCACAGAUUUUUUUUUAUUAUCCUUUAAGUUCUAGGGUACACGUGCACAAUGUGCAGCUUUGUUACAUAUGUAUACAUGUGCCAUGUUGUUGUGCUGCACCCAUUAACUCAUCUUUACAUUACAUAUAUCUCCUAACACUAUCCCUCCCCCCUCCCCCCACUCCACAACAGGCCCUGGUGUGUGAUGUUCCCCUUCCU